AGGGCUUCUUCCCAGCAGACCAUAUCCAGCUCCACAAAGAUGUGUAAAUCCAAAACUGCUGCACCAAAAAACAAGCAAUGAAGCCAAACAAAGUAGCCAACGUGACUCAGCUAUCAAGCACUGCUCGCCUUUUGCUGUCUUUUGCCACCUGAAAGGGACCUGCUCUUCACAUUCCUUCUGCUCUUUUUUCCCCCUCUUUUGAACUUACUUUUGGACCUUGGUUCCUCAAACUUUUAGCCUGUCAUCGCCAGCAGAUGAAGUUGUCACUGUUACUCUUUUGGUACACUAAUCAACCUGUAUAAUAACAAA
This is a long non-coding RNA of Phragmites australis (common reed), 309 nucleotides long. RefSeq lists it as uncharacterized. The transcript is spliced from 2 exons. NCBI's taxonomy places the organism in Eukaryota, Viridiplantae, Streptophyta, Magnoliopsida, Poales, Poaceae. The record is from RefSeq and is a predicted model, not a curated record.